RNAcentral lists this long non-coding RNA (1306 nucleotides) under Salmo salar (Atlantic salmon). RNAcentral's name for it is "lncRNA (ENSSSAG00000117470.1)". Lineage: Eukaryota; Metazoa; Chordata; Actinopteri; Salmoniformes; Salmonidae. The record is from RNAcentral.
GUUUUCCAUUGUGUGCCCUUAUGAACAGGAGCCAGGUCUGUAAGCCUAGCUAAGUCAAGGACCAGGGUUAAGGGUGCAUCAAGGAUUGGUCAGGCUCAGAGGUCAAGCCUGACAGAUUUCAUGCUUUAAUUUGGACUGUCAUGCUCUAGAUUACCACUGGAGAUGGAGAACUCUGAGUCAACCCAAGUAAGUCAACCUAGAACGAUGCUGACUUUGCCAGGUUUUUCCUAACAUGGUUUGUACAAAUCUCAAGAUCUUCCAGAAGAUGUGUGAGGGUGUGGAGACUACAACUCUAGGCCCAGGGUGUGGGGCUUACCUAAGGGAGAUGCCAAGUAAUCUAACAGCACCUACAUGUAUGAUAAACUACAUGUGGGUACACCAUCCAGGAAUGAAGGACCUGAGCCCUAGGACCAUGCCUCAGGACUACCUGGCAUGAUGACUCCUUGCUGUCCCCAGUCCACCUGGCCGUGCUGCUGCUCCAGUUUCAAUUGUUCUGCCUGCGGCUAUGUAACCCGGACCUGUUCACCGGACGUGCUACCUGUCCCAGACCUGCUGUUUUCAACUCUCUAAAGACAGAAGUAGCGGUAGAGAUACUCUGAAUGAUCGGCUAUGAAAAGCCAACUGACAUUUACUCUUGAGGUGCUGACUUGUUGCACCCUCGACAACUACUGUGAUUAUUAUUAUUUGACCAUGCUGGUCAUUUAUGAACAUUUGAACAUCUUGGCCAUGUUCUGUUAUAAUCUCCACCCGGCACAGCCAGAAGAGGACUGGCCACCCCUCAUAGCCUGGUUCCUCUCUAGGUUUCUUCCUAGGUUUUGGCCUUUCUAGGGAGUUUUUCCUAGCCACCGUGCUUCUACACCUGCAUUGCUUUCUGUUUGGGGUUUUAGGCUGGGUUUCUGUACAGCACUUUGAGAUAUCAGCUGAUGUAAGAAGGGCUAUAUAAAUACAUUUGAUUUGAUUCCUGGUUCUUUAUAAAAUGGCUGCUGUCAAAAUUAGCAGUGAAGAAGUGUGUGUAAUUAUGAAUGAUCAUUUUUCUGAGUGUGAUAUUCAAAUGUUUUCUAGUAAGUGAAUGUCUCAGGAAUAGUUAAGUCGUCAAGACUGUGUAAUAAUGUUUUCACAUUAAAUAAUAACUAUCAAGAAAUGUCCUCUGUAGUGGACACCCGGAUGCCGUAACAAUUUUUUUCACUUACUGUACCCAUUGACUAAUGUAUUUUUUUUCUUUCACAUUUUCGUCCUAAUGACCACUACAGAGGAAAAUGGUGCACUUUUAAUAAAAGAUAAAUAACAAUAUAUUUUUUUUAAACAA